Molecule: long non-coding RNA, 1785 nt
Organism: Cercocebus atys (sooty mangabey)
Lineage: Eukaryota; Metazoa; Chordata; Mammalia; Primates; Cercopithecidae
Exons: 3
Source: RefSeq, a predicted model, not a curated record
ACACUAAGGAUCAUGUGAAAGAGCUCCCUGAGGACAGAUUAAGAAGAGAUGAGUUAAAGCUGCAAAUACCAAGAUUUAAGGUUAAGUAUGAAGAAUUUCCUGAUACAGAAAAUUCUUUAGCCCUGGAAUUGAAUAUCAAAAGACUCUUUCCCCAACGUUGACCUCCAAACAAACUUUGCUGGGUUGUUCAAACCGCUUUGUUUCCUGUAAGUGUUCAUUGAUCUCUGUGAGUGGAUGAUGGUUGAUUACACACUUUGUCCGUGAUUAAACUAAGAAACUUCUGUUCAAAAGAUUCAGUAUAAUUUCUCUUUCCAUGAAUAUAUGGAAUUAUAGUGAUUUUAACCUAUAUAGACCAAGAUAACUUUGUGAUCCAAAUGGUCAGGUGUCAUAUUUAAAAAAUAUAUGCAUAUAGUUUAAAGCAAUUAAAUAUCCUUACUCAGUUUCUUAUGCGGAUGUGUAAGAGUAGCAACUGGUCGUGAGGGUCCAUCUUCUAUGGCUCUUUCACGUGUCUGUGUGUUUUGUGAAGCAAAGCAUCGACUUCCCCUUGUUCUAAACUAUCUUUUGAAGGAUGCUUGUAUAGUAUAAUUAACGGCUUUGGACAAUAGAGAUUGUAUCUCCCUCUGGAACAGGGGUGUCUGAUCUUUUGGCUUCCCUGGGCCACAUUGGAAGAAGAAUUGUCUUGUGCCACAUAUAAAAAACAUACUCACUAUAGCUGAUGAGCUGAAAAAAAAAUCGCAAAAAACCCUCAUAACGUUUUAAGAAAGUUUACCAAUUUGUGUUGGGUUGCAUUCAAAGCCAUUCUAGUCCACGUGUGGCCCGUGGGCUGCAGGUUGGACAAGCUUGCUCUAAAACAAAGGGCUGAUUUUCUUAUUGUUUUGUGUGGUAGGCAGUAUAAUGGCUCCCCCAAGAUGUCCAGAACUUAAUCCCAGGAACCUGUGAAUAUGUUACCUUGCAUAACAAAUGAAAAUUUAUGUUACAGAUGAAAUUAAGAAUGCUGAUCAACUAAAGGACCUUCACAUACAAAGGUUAUCCUGGAUUAUUCAGAUUUGGAUGGCAAAUUGUCUUUCUGCAAUUGUAUUAUGGCUGCCAUUGCAAUUAAGAAAUGGAAAAUACAUUUCUGAAAUCCAACAAAGUCUGAUCUUAUCAGCAUCAGAACCAUGUAUGGAAGGAGAAAACAGAACUCACACUUAAGAGGAUGGCCAAAUAGAAAGACCAGCCGAGUGGAAAAAGUCCUCCUAAGUGGAGCAGUUGAACCUUGGGAAUAUAUCAGCCUUAGAAAAUUGCAGCUGGAGACAUCUGUCAUUUCCCCUGGUAACCAGCAUUCUACCCUCUACCACCAUGGGAUCCACUUUUUUAGCUCCCACUGAUGAAUGAGAACAUGUGACAUUUGUCUUUCUGUGCCAAGAAGCUCCGUAGUUUUAGCUUUCACAUAUUGAUAGAUCUACAGUAUAUCUGGAACUGAUAUUUGCAUAUGAUGUGAGGCAGAAGCUCAAGAUCCACAUUUUCACCUGUGUUUACCCAACUGAUUCAUAUCCAGUUGACCCAGGAACACUGACUAAAAAGAAUAUCCUUUUCCUAACUAAUCGUGUGUUACUUUUAUCAUACAUCAAGUGGACUCUUUUCUUUUCCACUGACUAAUAUCUAUCCUUUCACCAAUUCUCUUAAUUACUGCAGCAAUAUAAUAAAUCUUGAUACCUGAAAGUGAAAGUCUGACUGUUCUUUGUAUUACUAUGCAAAUAUUUGAACCAGCUUGUUAAAUUCAUUAAAAAUAUAUUUAGCUGGGAU